Molecule: long non-coding RNA, 3881 nt
Filed under: Homo sapiens (human)
Lineage: Eukaryota; Metazoa; Chordata; Mammalia; Primates; Hominidae
Description: HSALNT0346184
Source: RNAcentral
CGCAGAAGUUGGACAAAGACACACCCACAGGGAAAGCACCAUGAGAAGAUGACGGCAGAGAUCUGGGCGACGCGUCUACAAGCCAAGCGACACCAAAGGUGGCCAGCAGCCCAUGUGAAGCUGGAGGAGAGGCCUCGAAUAAAUGCUCCCUUACAGCGUUCAGGGGGAACUGACCCUGUCCACACCUUGACCUUGAACUUCUGGGCUCCAGAACUGUGAGACAGCAUGUUCUGUUGUUGAAGGAGCAGCGUGGCUAGAGGAAUUCCUGCAGCUUAGAUUUCGCUGGCACUGUUACCACUCCCAGAGAGGAGCGGCUGGAGUUCACGGCUGGUUCCUGACAAACUUCCUAAUUAAUCUGCUAAAGAUCAGAGGAGGACUAAUAGGAGCUGAAGACUGUGUGCGAGACCACCCCUCCGCCCUCUCCCUUUGUGUGUGCACGUGUGUGUGUGUGUGUGUGUGAGCGCGUGCGCGCAUGUGGUGCUGAGCUUGGCGGGAGAGAGAUGGCCUCACCAGCGACAAAGCAUUCCUGCUGCUGUUGCUGCCACCUACCUUCCCUGCUUUGGGAGGAUACAUUUUCUCCUCUUGCUUAGAAGUUUCAGGGAGUCACCCAAGCCUUCUUCUCCCAGAUACAACGGUGGAAUAAAAUAUCUUCCAGCCAACAUAUUUUUUGGAGACGGAAUCUCACUCUGUCACCUGGUUGAAGUGCAGCAGCGCGAUCAUGGCUCACUGCAACCUCUGCCUCCCGGUUUCAAGUGAUUCUCCUGCCUCCGCCUCCCGAGUAGCUGGGAUUACAGGCAUGUGCCACCCACCACGCCUGGGUAAUUUUUGUAUUUUUACUAGAGACAGGGUUUCACUAUGUGGGCUGGGCUGGUCUCAAACUCCUGACCUCUGGUGAUCUGCCCACUUCGGCCUCUCAAAGUGCUGGGAUUACAGGCAUGAGCCCCCGCACCCGGUUGCAACCAACUUUUUUGUGGAAUAUAGGAUCUUGAUGUUUGGAUGCCUGAAGGCAGAAGCUGUUGCACAUGGAAUGGAUUAAAGUUUUCCCCUCUGCAACCAAAAAUCCUUGGGGUCCCAGGAGCAAAAGAUGCUCCAUGGCACAGGACAAUUCAAGAAGGCCCGAGGUGAUAUUGAAGACUGCAGAGACAUCCAGCUCAGUUGUGUCUCCGGAGGUGUCCAGACUUUGCAGACAGACGUUGCACAUAAAGAGCUGAAAAACUGAGGAAGCUGAGCUGGAGAAGGAAGUCACUUCUACUCAGACUUGACCUGCGUCUGAUGCUAUGGGGCCUCUUAGGGUUACCUCAUGCUUCAUGCACCCCUUUCUCUGUUCUUCAGCAGAAGGCAGGGUGUAGGGAAGCGGGACUGUGCCUCCUUUCUCCCUGCCAGGCCUGACUCUCCAGGCCAAGAGACACCAUUAAGGAGUAUAAUUUGUUGAUCCAGGCUCUCCUUGCGUUUCAGUGCAGAGUGGCAUCGUUUUCUUUAUGACCUCGUAAAGUCACAGCCGAGAGGCCGAUUUGGAAAACAAACUGCCUCAGGUUGACAGAUAAUUAGAUACAGGGGACAUAUUAUAUGCCUUUGCAUAUAAAUGUGCUCCGAGGCGUGUUGGUUCAUCUGAAGUUGAGGUUAAAGGCGCGCCAGGUAUUCCUGACACAUCAGGAUAUAUAUUUUCAUACAGUCUCAGGUGCUGUGUUGGUUUUAUAGGCCUUUCAUCCUGGUGCUGACGGAUGGGGUGUGAUUGUGACCCAACUUAGAAGAAAGGGACUUCCCUUGCCCAGGGGCCUCCUGGCGUUUUUGUUUUGUGUUCUCCCUCUCCACCCCCACUUUCUCUUCUUCCUUGGGAAGGGAACUGUUCUUUGGACCUAGGAUUCUGCCGUGAGUGACUAAUGGCCUGAGUAGGAGGGACCGGGACUCAUUUUUCUUUUCUGGACUCUAAUAGGCCCAAUUAAUUCAGCUACAACAUGGGCCCUUACAAGCCUGGGACAAGCCUGGGUGGAAUUCUAUAUUGAGGAGUUAAUCCUAAUAAAAAAUGAUUACAGAAGAGGACGCCUCCACCCACAGGAAGGAGCCAGCACGGUGGGGAGCUGUUUCACCAGGGGAGUGUUCUCAGCAGCUGCCACACGUGGAGUUGUGGAGGUAGCAAGCAGAGUUGGGGGAGGAGGGGGAGCCCUGGUUCCUGCUCUUCCAUGAUCAGUGUGCAGCCUUGAGCAUGGCACUCCCUCUCUUCCCAGCUUAGUGUCCUCAUCCGUAAAAUGAGGGGCUCUCUGAGAGUCUGCCAGGGCCGCUGUCUGAUCUGUGACAGCGUGGCAUGUGGUGUGGUAUGUAAUGCACGUUCCUGCCUGCAGGGAGGCCCUCUCCCUUCCCCCACCAGGCUUCUGGGCAGCACUUGCUGUCAUCCUUGCUUCUGGAACAGGACUGUGCUGUUUUCCAGGCCAAAUUGGAGGGCUGAGGGGGUCUAUUAAGAAGACUCUGGGGAGAUGGUGGAACAAUUCUGUGCUUGAAAUUACCUUCCUCUUUAAAUCUUGCCAUGGCCCUAUUAGAAAAGCUAAGGGGGCAGGAGGAGAGGAGCGGGCAGGGAGAGGAGAGAGAGAGAGAAGAAGGAAGAAGGAAAGGGAAAGGUAAGAAACCCCAUAGCCCGACCCUCAGCCCUGUUGAAGGAGAUUAUAUAAAUAGAGUCGCUGUCACUUUGAUGAAUUAAAUCCUCCGUUAAUUAGGACGCAUCCAUUUAAGGGUUGUCCAGCCAGAUAGUCCUUUUCCCUUCCCAGCAAGUCAUAGCUCAGGGAGGAGGCAUGAGAGGGAUCGUUUUCUGUUUCUGGCUUGAUUGCUGGUUUCUUUCUUACUAGGCUUCAUUAAUUAUCCUGGAAUGUGGUCACCCAGUUUUCUUCAACAUGGGCCAUUCUCCUUUUAGCAGGAUCUUGGCAGUGGACUGCCACGGGAGCUCUGGGGAAAAAGGACCAGUUGGACUCCAGUACCUCCUGAGAGACCACCACCCUCCAUGCCUCCAGCUCAUGCCCAGCUCUGAGUCAGACGGACUCUUCCUGUUGUACUGCGAGGUUCUGCAAACCUUGAAGGGCAAACACAGUGAGGGUCUCUGACUUGCUGUGUGGACAGCCCACUCUCUGACAGCCCAGAUCAUCUGAAGCUAUCCCUGGGCUGGGAGCUGGAAGCCAUUCUUGUGAACCACUCCUUAUACCUUGAGCGAAGCCUCUUUGGGUCCCAGAAGUCUGAAGCUCCAGCUGCCUGGCAAGACUGAGUCUAGAUGAUUUCUUGGGUACCAGUAGUUUGGCAUUUAAAAAUACUGGAUUAACUGCAGUGUAAACUUAGAUUGCAUUUCAGAUUGUAAACAAUAACCCCCGUGCUUCAUGUGAUGUUAAAUCAGAAAUGAGCUAUUAGCCAAGCUAGUCCUCUUAUGAAUGAGCCCCUAACCCUGAUCCAGGGAUCGUUGAAUGAAAAUCAUCAAAAUGAUUUAUCUUCACUUUACCUAUUGUCUCACAAGAAUCUCAUCACUCAGGGAAAAGGAGGGUGUUCUUCAGGGAACGGAGGGCAUGAGGAAGGGGGAUUUCCUUAUAUCUCAACUUUCAGAGGGAGCUGAGUUGUAAACAGAUGGAACAAGGUGUGUACGAGAAGCCUCUUAGAUUUAGUCUUUCAUAUCAAGGCUCUUGCUGAAAAUCCUGGCACAGCUGUGAAAUGAGGGGAGCUCUGACACACAGAGACACGCUCCUUGCCUCACCAACCUUCCCAUACACAGUCAUGCGCACAGAGAGCAGGUACCAAUACUGAAAAUGCCCUUCCGGAGUUUCCUCAGCUUAAACCCUUGACAGCAUUAAGUGAGGAAGGAGUUUCCUUGACCUGGGGAAGAAGAACCAACUCAUAAACAUGGAACUGUG